RNAcentral lists this long non-coding RNA (651 nucleotides) under Mustela putorius furo (domestic ferret). Its description in RNAcentral is "lncRNA (ENSMPUG00000031983.1)". Lineage: Eukaryota; Metazoa; Chordata; Mammalia; Carnivora; Mustelidae. The record is from RNAcentral.
CCCUGGCGACUCACAGCCCGGGCUGCGGGCGAACCCGCGCGGAGGUGAGGCACCCGGCACAGCGAAGCGGACUCCGGGUGGGGUGGCCGCCGGCAGACGCGCAUCGCACUUCACCCUGCCGAGCACAGUAGAUAUCCUGAGUGUACUUGGUGGAGGUAACUUCAUACAUGAAGAACCAGGCAGUGAAGAACACGCCACAGCAGCAGAGUUGGAUGAGGGAAGUUGUCCGCAUGCGCCAGGCUGGUAUAGCUCCUCGUGGCCUCCAGUUUCAUUUUGCUGGAAAAGGUUAUUCCACCAUUCUGCCCUGAGUUUUCAUCUGUUGCUUUGGACCUUCCUUCUAGGUUUCAGGCAGAGGCUGUGAUGGCAUCAGGAAGGUUGGCCAGAAUGAUCAUGUAGAAAAGUAGAUCAUGUAGAAAAGUAAUCUCUGGAUGAGAAAGAUGGCAGCCGAGACAAAAGGAGUCUCUUGGUGAGUUGUUUUUAAAAUCUGAAAAUACAUUUCUGGGAACUUGAACAAAGUGGAAGAUUUACACAUAAAAAAAAUAUGAAUCAAUAUACGAACAGAUAAAUAACCUGGUUUAUGAUCUGCCUACAGACAGUAAUGGAGCGCAUAGAAAGUGAAAGGGAUCCUUCUCUGUAAAGGCUUCAUUUUGC